Molecule: ribosomal RNA, 301 nt
Filed under: uncultured bacterium
Lineage: Bacteria
Description: partial 16S ribosomal RNA
Rfam family: Bacterial small subunit ribosomal RNA
Source: RNAcentral
CAGUCGCCGCGGGAAGACGGAGGGUGCUAGCGUUGUUCGGAAUCACUGGGCGUAAAGGGCGCGUAGGCGGCCUGUUAAGUCGGAUGUGAAAGCCCGGGGCUCAACCCCGGAACUGCAUCCGAGACUGGCAGGCUUGAGACCGGGAGAGGAGGGUGGAAUAUCCAGUGUAGAGGUGAAAUUCGUAGAUAUUGGAUGGAACACCGGUGGCGAAAGCGGCUCUCUGGCCCGGAUCUGACGCUGAGGCGCGAAAGCGUGGGGAGCAAACAGGAUUAGAUACCCCUGUAGUCCCUGUCUCUUAUAA